AGAGAUGCUGAGACAGUUCAGAAGGAACAACACCAGGAGCCACAGCAGCAGCCAAGGAAACUUAUAUGGAAGUAUUUUUGAUUUUUACUUUUCUUUCCCCUUGCCCCUUCUGACUCUAACAUAACUAACCAUCACCUUCCCUUUCCCCCUCAUUUCAUCUUCCUUAUUUAAGUGUUGUUGUUUUCUGUUUUUUCAACUACUUGUGUGGUAAUGAUUUUUUUUCUUUUGAAUUUUGUUGAUUUGUUGCAUUGAUUUGAAAUUUUACUAAUCUUCUGCCAGCUGUAUACUUUCAGGGACUAAAAUGAGGAACAACGAUGGAGGAGCAAGGUCGACCAACAAAAGUUGAGGAGAUGACGAGUCCAUUUCCUAGCUAUAUACAGCAGUCAACAUGACCCAAAGUGAAGAAGAAAGUUGAGGCUGACCAGGAUCCUGAAGUGAGGAGCAGUCCCUCUCAUAUAACAGCAUUCGUGAGCAGAAAGUGCGUAAGCAGAGAUGCUGAGACAGUUCAGAAGGAACAACACCAGGAGCCACAGCAGCAGCCAAGGAAACUUAUAUGGAAGUAUUUUUGAUUUUUACUUUUCUUUCCCCUUGCCCUUUCUGACUCUAACAUAACUAACCAUCACCUUCCCUUUCCCCCUCAUUUCAUCUUCCUUAUUUAAGUGUUGUUGUUUUCUGUUUCUUCAACUACUUGUGUGGUAAUGAUUUUUUUUCUUUUGAAUUUUGUUGAUUUGUUGCAUUGAUUUGAAAUUUUACUAAUCUUCUGCCAGCUGUAUACUUUCAGGGACUAAAAUGAGGAACAACGAUGGAGGAGCAAGGUCGACCAACAAAAGUUGAGGAGAUGACGAGUCCAUUUCCUAGCUAUAUACAGCAGUCAACAUGACCCAAAGUGAAGAAGAAAGUUGAAGCUGACCAGGAUCCUGAAGUGAGGAGCAGUCCCUCUCCUAUAAAACAGCAUUCGUGAGCAGAAAGUGCGUAAGCAGAGAUGCUGAGACAGUUCAGAAGGAACAACACCAGGAGCCACAGCAGCAGCCAAGGAAACUUAUAUGGAAGUAUUUUUGAUUUUUACUUUUCUUUCCCCUUGCCCUUCUGACUCUAACAUAACUAACCAUCACCUUCCCUUUCCCCCUCAUUUCAUCUUCCUUAUUUAAGUGUUGUUGUUUUCUGUUUUUUCAACUACUUGUGUGGUAAUGAUUUUUUUUCUUUUGAAUUUUGUUGAUUUGUUGCAUUGAUUUGAAAUUUUACUAAUCUUCUGCCAGUUGUAUACUUUCAGGGACUAAAAUGAGGAACAACGAUGGAGGAGCAAGGUCGACCAACAAAAGUUGAGGAGAUGACGAGUCCAUUUCCUAGCUAUAUACAGCAGUCAACAUGACCCAAAGUGAAGAAGAAAGUUGAGGCUGACCAGGAUCCUGAAGUGAGGAGCAGUCCCUCUCAUAUAACAGCAUUCGUGAGCAGAAAGUGCGUAAGCAGAGAUGCUGAGACAGUUCAGAAGGAACAACACCAGGAGCCACAGCAGCAGCCAAGGAAACUUAUAUGGAAGUAUUUUUGAUUUUUACUUUUCUUUCCCCUUGCCCUUUCUGACUCUAACAUAACUAACCAUCACCUUCCCUUUCCCCCUCAUUUCAUCUUCCUUAUUUAAGUGUUGUUGUUUUCUGUUCCUUCAACUACUUGUGUGGUAAUGAUUUUUUUUCUUUUGAAUUUUGUUGAUUUGUUGCAUUGAUUUGAAAUUUUACUAAUCUUCUGCCAGUUGUAUACUUUCAGGGACUAAAAUGAGGAACAACGAUGGAGGAGCAAGGUCGACCAACAAAAGUUGAGGAGAUGACGAGUCCAUUUCCUAGCUAUAUACAGCAGUCAACAUGACCCAAAGUGUUGAGGCUGAACAGGAUCCUGAAGUGAGGAGCAGUCCCUCUCCUAUAAAACAGCAUUCGUGAGCAGAAAGUGCGUAAGCAGAGAUGCUGAGACAGUUCAGAAGGAACAACACCAGGAGCCACAGCAGCAGCCAAGGAAACUUAUAUGGAAGUAUUUUUGAUUUUUACUUUUCUUUCCCCUUGCCCCUUCUGACUCUAACAUAACUAAACCAUCACCUUCCCUUUCCCCCUCAUUUCAUCUUCCUUAUUUAAGUGUUGUUGUUUUCUGUUUUUUCAACUACUUGUGUGGUAAUGAUUUUUUUCUUUUGAAUUUUGUUGAUUUGUUGCAUUGAUUUGAAAUUUUACUAAUCUUCUACCAGUUGUAUACUUUCAGGGACUAAAAAGAGGAACAACGAUGGAGGAGCAAGGUCGACCAACAAAAGUUGAGGAGAUGACGAGUCCAUUUCCUAGCUAUAUACAGCAGUCAACAUGACCCAAAGUGAAGAAGAAAGUUGAGGCUGACCAGGAUCCUGAAGUGAGGAGCAGUCCCUCUCAUAUAACAGCAUUCGUGAGCAGAAAGUGC
This is a long non-coding RNA of Saccostrea cuccullata (small rock oyster), 2427 nucleotides long. RefSeq lists it as uncharacterized. The transcript is spliced from 10 exons. NCBI's taxonomy places the organism in Eukaryota, Metazoa, Mollusca, Bivalvia, Ostreida, Ostreidae. The record is from RefSeq and is a predicted model, not a curated record.